Molecule: non-coding RNA, 169 nt
Organism: Meleagris gallopavo (turkey)
Lineage: Eukaryota; Metazoa; Chordata; Aves; Galliformes; Phasianidae
Source: RefSeq, a predicted model, not a curated record
UUGUGAAUUAUCCCCUUCUAGGGAAUCAAAAAACCUUUUACUGAAGUAAUUAAAGCCAACAUUGGAGAUGCACAUGCAAUGGGACAGAGGCCAAUCACCUUCCUUCGUCAGGUAGUGGCAUUGUGCACAUACCCAAACCUGUUGGACAGCCCAAGUUUUCCAGAAGAUG